AUUCCAGCUCCAAUGGCGUAUAUUAAAGUUGUUGCAGUUAAAAAGCUCGUAGUUGGAUUUCUGGCGGGAGCGACCGGUCGGCCCUUGUGGUGUGUACUAGCGUUGCGUCCGGCCAUAUUUGCGGAGAGCGUGUGUGGCAUUAAUUUGUCGUGCACGGGACCCGCAUCGUUUACUGUGAGAAAAUUAGAGUGUUCAAAGCAGGCUUAUGCCUUGGAUAUGUUAGCAUGGAAUAAUAAGAUAAGACUUUGGCGGUCUAUUUUGUUGGUUUGCACGCCAUUGUAAUGAUUGAUAGGGACAGUUGGGGGUAUUCAUAUUUAAUUGUCAGAGGUGAAAUUCUUGGAUUUAUGAAAGAUGAACUACUGCGAAAGCAUUUACCAAGGAUGUUUUCAUCG
RNAcentral lists this ribosomal RNA (392 nucleotides) under Stramenopiles sp. MAST-2C. RNAcentral describes it as "partial small subunit ribosomal RNA". It matches the Rfam family "Eukaryotic small subunit ribosomal RNA", at positions 582 to 975 of the family's 1831-position model. The record is from RNAcentral.